GCCUGAGUGGCUCAGUCGGUUGAGCGUCUGACUUCAGCUCAGGUCACGAUCUCACGGUUCGUGAGUUCGAGCCCCGCGUCAGGCU
Molecule: transfer RNA, 85 nt
Filed under: Felis catus (domestic cat)
Lineage: Eukaryota; Metazoa; Chordata; Mammalia; Carnivora; Felidae
Rfam family: tRNA
About the family: Transfer RNA (tRNA) molecules are approximately 80 nucleotides in length. Their secondary structure includes four short double-helical elements and three loops (D, anti-codon, and T loops). Further hydrogen bonds mediate the characteristic L-shaped molecular structure. tRNAs have two regions of fundamental functional importance: the anti-codon, which is responsible for specific mRNA codon recognition, and the 3' end, to which the tRNAs corresponding amino acid is attached (by aminoacyl-tRNA synthetases). tRNAs cope with the degeneracy of the genetic code in two manners: having more than one tRNA (with a specific anti-codon) for a particular amino acid; and 'wobble' base-pairing, i.e. permitting non-standard base-pairing at the 3rd anti-codon position.
Source: Rfam by way of RNAcentral